Molecule: long non-coding RNA, 329 nt
Filed under: Homo sapiens (human)
Lineage: Eukaryota; Metazoa; Chordata; Mammalia; Primates; Hominidae
Description: HSALNT0043875
Source: RNAcentral
CACACUUAAAGCAGAUUCUUAAGUAGAAGUUGCUUUUGAAGCAGUACUAGGCCCACCAGAAAGAAGGAUGAACAACAUUCCGGAGCAAAUUCUAACAUCAAACACAGCUAUGCACUUUUAACUUCAGUUAAAAAGAGUUUCCCAGGUAGACCUAGAGCCCGGCAUGGUGAUGGAAGCCUGCAAUUCCAGCUACUUGGGAAGCUGAAGCAAGAGAAUCGCUUGAACCUGGGAGACGGAGGUUGCAGUGAGCCAAGAUUGCACAAUGCACUCUAGCCUGGGCAACAAGAAGGAAACUCCAUCACAAAAAUAAAUAAAUAAAUAAAAAUCCA